AUAACAAUACAGGACUCUUUACAGGCCCUGUAAUUGGAAUGAGUACACUUUAAAUCCUUUAACGAGGAUUUAUUGGAGGGCAAGUCUGCUGCAGAGCGACUGACCCAUGCGUGCUCCAG
This 119-nucleotide ribosomal RNA is filed under the name Pelobates cultripes (western spadefoot toad). Its description in RNAcentral is "SSU_rRNA_eukarya". The record is from RNAcentral. Lineage: Eukaryota; Metazoa; Chordata; Amphibia; Anura; Pelobatidae.